CUGGCGGCAGGCCUAACACAUGCAAGUCGAGCGGUAGCACAGAGAGCUUGCUCUCGGGUGACGAGCGGCGGACGGGUGAGUAAUGUCUGGGAAACUGCCUGAUGGAGGGGGAUAACUACUGGAAACGGUAGCUAAUACCGCAUAAUGUCGCAAGACCAAAGUGGGGGACCUUCGGGCCUCAUGCCAUCAGAUGUGCCCAGAUGGGAUUAGCUAGUAGGUGGGGUAACGGCUCACCUAGGCGACGAUCCCUAGCUGGUCUGAGAGGAUGACCAGCCACACUGGAACUGAGACACGGUCCAGACUCCUACGGGAGGCAGCAGUGGGGAAUAUUGCACAAUGGGCGCAAGCCUGAUGCAGCCAUGCCGCGUGUGUGAAGAAGGCCUUCGGGUUGUAAAGCACUUUCAGCGGGGAGGAAGGCGUUAAGGUUAAUAACCUUAGCGAUUGACGUUACCCGCAGAAGAAGCACCGGCUAACUCCGUGCCAGCAGCCGCGGUAAUACGGAGGGUGCAAGCGUUAAUCGGAAUUACUGGGCGUAAAGCGCACGCAGGCGGUCUGUCAAGUCGGAUGUGAAAUCCCCGGGCUCAACCUGGGAACUGCAUUCGAAACUGGCAGGCUAGAGUCUUGUAGAGGGGGGUAGAAUUCCAGGUGUAGCGGUGAAAUGCGUAGAGAUCUGGAGGAAUACCGGUGGCGAAGGCGGCCCCCUGGACAAAGACUGACGCUCAGGUGCGAAAGCGUGGGGAGCAAACAGGAUUAGAUACCCUGGUAGUCCACGCCGUAAACGAUGUCGAUUUGGAGGUUGUGCCCUUGAGGCGUGGCUUCCGGAGCUAACGCGUUAAAUCGACCGCUGCAGGAGUACGGCCGCAAGGUUAAAACUCAAAUGAAUUGACGGGGGCCCGCACAAGCGGUGGAGCAUGUGGUUUAAUUCGAUGCAACGCGAAGAACCUUACCUGGUCUUGACAUCCACAGAACUUUCCAGAGAUGGAUUGGUGCCUUCGAGAACUGUGAGACAGGUGCUGCAUGGCUGUCGUCAGCUCGUGUUGUGAAAUGUUGGGUUAAGUCCCGCAACGAGCGCAACCCUUAUCCUUUGUUGCCAGCGGUUAGGCCGGGAACUCAAAGGAGACUGCC
This 1125-nucleotide ribosomal RNA is filed under the name Klebsiella pneumoniae. RNAcentral's name for it is "bacterial SSU rRNA". It matches the Rfam family "Bacterial small subunit ribosomal RNA", at positions 36 to 1153 of the family's 1533-position model. Lineage: Bacteria; Pseudomonadati; Pseudomonadota; Gammaproteobacteria; Enterobacterales; Enterobacteriaceae. The record is from RNAcentral.